Molecule: long non-coding RNA, 7394 nt
Filed under: Marmota monax (woodchuck)
Lineage: Eukaryota; Metazoa; Chordata; Mammalia; Rodentia; Sciuridae
Source: RNAcentral
CUGAUUUCUAAACAUUUUUUUCCCUUUCUGGACAGGUUCUCCCCCAUGAUGUAAGUGCCACAAGCAGGCAGAAUAUAGAUUCCAACCCUUGCUUGGUAAGCAGGAAAUUGUUAUUCUUAAGUUCAGGAUUUUCUUUUUUUAAAACCCUCUCAAAAUUAAGAAAUCCUGUUUUGUUAGCUAGAAGAGCUCUAAUUACUGUGAAUAUGCAAACAUGGGAGUAAAUUGUAAAUAUAUAAUUUAGUUAAGAUUUACACAAAGAGCUUGAGAAAUAGUCAUCUCCUUUCUCAUCUACUCAUUUGAAAUUGAAUUAAUCUCAUAAAUAUUAUCACACUGGUUUCCCAUUGACCAUUUUUACCUGAAUUUAGAAAACAUAUAAGGAAAUAAUUUUAUGGCAAAAAAUUUAAAGAAGAAAUAAAUAAUCAACCAUUUUUAAGACUAGAAAUGGUAUUUAGUUUUGAACCUAAGUAUUUAUGCUUUCUAAAGAGGGGAGAUAGGGGGACUAUUGAUACUGAAAAGACAUUUUCUGCAAGUUUCAUAAUUAAGUGGAAAGACUGUUUAAAAAUUGAUAAAGUGAAAGAAUGUGAAAUCCCUUAGUUUGAAUUUAUAUGCAAGUGAUAAAAUAUUAUUGGAGAGUAGUUUAUUUUCCACAUUUAAAAUUUAAUUUGAGUGUCUUUUCUUCCCAAGCGUUGGUAUGAGGUUUCAAGAUUCAUCCAAUGUAUUUGCAAUUUAAGCAUUAUAUUCUCCAAACUCCUGACUUCUUCUGUGUCCAUAACUUCAGAAUUUUUAGAAAGUUAUCUGGCCACAGAGGAAACAUGAUAUACAAAUGGCCACUUAUACGUUGGAUCAGAUGGAAAUAUUCUUUCAGUGCUGAUUUGUGUAAAAAUUUUCAUACAUGAAAACUUGUAAAAGAACUUCCAUUUAUUGGGAUGAUCCUUUCCACAUUGUGGAAAUCUUUACUUAGAGGAUAUAGUUCAGUCAAGAGAAGAGGAGGCAGUCUGUAGUGAUCCGUGGGAGCUGUAGUUUUUGUCUGCUCAUCAUUGGGUCUUCCUUUGACUCCCUCAUUCUUAGUCAUCCAGAUGACGAUGUCAAUCAGUGUGACCUGUCCCCAAUUCAUGGGUGAGUGUGCUAUCAAACAUAGCUACUGGAGUGCCAAGUAUCGAUUCAGGAAUAUGCAUAGAAAUCAAGAAAGAUAAAUUAUCUUUCCUGAGAAAUUGAUAGAGGACUUCUAUUGGAUGGGUGACAUCUAAUUCCACUGUGAUUGCUUAACAGGGCCAGUGUACAUCUGGAGAUGAUUGAGGUCAUCUUGUGUGACACAAAUACAUCGACUGAGCCUACCUGUAAUGUAACAAGUGGAGAUACACACAGCUGAAGGAUGGAGAAGUGAAAUAAAACUCUGAGCUCACUAUUUGCCCCUGAAUCCAUCCCUGCUUAAAGAUACAGCCUUCUCUGGACUUGCCAAUUACAUAGUCACUACAUUUUCCUUUUUCUUAAACCAUUUUGAGUUGGAUUUCUAAAAAAUCUAACCAAAAUGUGUCUUUAUGAAUACAGUCCUUAUUGCAGAUCUUCUAUAAUUCUGCUAAAUUUUUCUCUUGCUCACUUUUUCCUUCUUUAGUCUGACCAAUAAAGAGUUUAAAAGUUUUAUGCUAAUAUAACAGAUUCACCAGAACACAAAGAGUGAUUUCAUGAUGCAAUUCAAACAUAGAUUCCCCACUGAGAAAACACUGAGGUGUUUGUAGUUACCCAUGGCUGUGUGUAAUAACUUUGGGCUUAAUGCUUUCAUUUGAAGUUACUGUUGUGGAGUCUAGAGCACCCUGGGAGUUAACCUGCAGGACAAUGUAAAGAGGAGCAUAUAUUCUUUCGAGGCACUUGUAGCUGUCAUUUUAUUUUUUGAGAGUUAUGAAUGGAGGUAUUGUUGCAAACAGCUGUACCGUGAAGGCAUUUAAGCCAGUUAUUACUGCCUGUGGUAUCUGCACUCAAAAUGUUGCAAACACUGAAAUUAUGAUUUAGAGGUGAAAAAUGUGAGUUUUAUAAGAUAUAGCUAUAUGCUUGGCUCUGUCUUUUUAUAUUAUUGGACAGAUUCUUUUAAAAUGAUGAUUCUAACUCUAGGUGCCUGCCAUUCUAAUGAAUUCAGGAGUGUUGGCCAGAAUAUAUCAAAUAACACGCAAUAAUAUAUUAAUUUUGAAAGCAAUAUGGUAACAUUAUUUUUAAUGUAUUUAAUUAUUUCCCAAUGGCAUUAUGCUAAAUCUAUACUAUGUGGAAUGCAAUUUGAGGAAUCAGAACAUAGCAAACAAAUUUUUAAAUGUUGCAUAUCUUUGAUGACAAUGAAUUUGGUUGAAUUGAACUAAAGUGACAGUCUUUAAGGUUAGAAAAUAAAAUUUUGUGUUUUCUGGAAGAACUCAAUCAUGUUAUCCAAUAAUUCGUUUCUUUGUAGUAGAAUGACCAUCUUUAAAACAUUAAGAUGUAUUGUAACCCUCAGUUCAGAGAAUAAUCUCUGCUUUUCUUACCCAAAUCAUGAUGUAAACCUUCACUAGAUCAAACUCUGCUUUCAUUAAGACAGAGGCAGAAAUUCAGUAAUUGGGUUGCCCUUCAUGAUUUCUGACUCAUGAUAGCAGAUCAUGCAUCAUUUCACAUCCGGUUCAUAUGCCAACUAAAAACUAUUCCAAAAUUUUUUGCCAGAGUCACCAAUAGAAAAUUUCUCAAUUAGUCUACAAGUUAAUGGAAGAUAUGAUGUCUGUUUAACUUGUGAGAACAGCAUAUUCUGCAUAUUAUUAUGUCAUUUAAUAAUCUAAUUCUUUAACUUAAAUGAGUUCUAUAGAUCAUAGAUUUGUUUUUUUAAAGAAGUCACUGAUAGUUCAUCUAGUAAAAUAUUCUCAAUUCAUAGGUGUGCCAGUUAGAAUGCUUUGAGUUGCAUGUAAUGGAAAACUGAUUCAAACUUCCCUAAGUAAAGAUGGGAAUUUGGAAUUCACAACACUGAAUGUUCCAAGUCAAGAGACUUUCUCCAGAGUUGAGAGUCUAUGACUGGGUCUGGAUUUCUUUUUAGUUCUUACUCCUGCUUCUCAGUGUGGAUGAGGUUCUUAGGUAGAACUCCCUAAAAGGGGGAGUGGCAGCUCAUAACCGCAUGCUUCCUGGCACUUCUACUAGGAAAGACUCUGCCUCCCUGAUAUUUUAAACCAAAUCUCAGAAGUGAGUUUUCCUGGCCCUGAUUGAUUGGCCUGAUUGAGUCACUAAUUCUUUUUAAUUAAUCUCUGUGAUUAGUGAUCAGACUUGCUGACUGGAUCAAGGCAGCGGGCUUCCACUCCUGGAGCUGGAAGCUGAAUCAACCCCACACCAACUGCACUGCAGGGGAAUUCAGGUUACUUUUUCUGGUAAUGGAUGCUAGGGAAGCAACCAAUGAACUGUAAGAUGAGGGAGUCUGAAAGAAUCUAAGGGAUGUGGCUGGUCACACAGUAAGCAGAAAAGCCUCCUCUAAAACCUAAUUUAAAAAUCAUUGUAUCUGUCUAAAAGGUCUAUGAACUACUGUACAAAUUCACGCAGUGGGCACUGUGACAUAGCGUUGUGGAAAUGCAGGCACUAUCUAGCACAGUAUGUAUCAAUGUGUGGUCUGAAAUUCACUUUAUAAAAGACACCUGGGAUGUCUGGGAAAAAAAAAAAAGAAAUUUCAGAUUCCUGAUCCCUGUUCUGGAUUUCCUGAAUCAGAGUCUGUGUGGGCAGAGAGGGCUCUGGAAUUUUAAAUAUGCUUUCUAGGCAAAUGUCCUGCCUGUUAAGAUGUGAGCUCCCUUGUGCUCACAUGUAACUCAUCAUGUAACUCAUAAAUUGUUAUGGUUAACAAAUAUUCUAAAACUUCUUACCACAUCUGCCUCAGAUAGUUGGAAAUAUUUUCUAAAAAAAAAAUGUUUUUAUUGACUUUCUUACCAAGACUGUAACUACUUCUAAAUUAAUCUGUUGGACAACUCUGUUAGGAGAAUCAUGAGGUCUUGCAGAAGCCAUCAGGAGAGCAGGGUAAUCUGCAGAACACUGAGAGGCAAAAAUGAAAAACAUUUUUGUUUUAUACUAUCAGGGAGUAUCAGCAAGUGUGAAGAUGCUUGAGUUGAGCCAAGCAGGAAAAAUAUAUUUACUAUGAUAAAUGGUAUCAAAUAAAGCAUGCGAGUACCCACUUAUAGGUAUUAUUUACCUAUGAGAACUCUUCUCAAUUGUCUUCAGGCUAUGAUUGAUACAUUAAGAGUUUGCUCCAUCUGUAACACUUGGAUAGUAAAUGUAGGUAUUUCAACAGCUAGUGAAAUUCAUAUGAAUGUGACUGAGACUUAUAAUAAGAAAUACAACAUUCACUGUGUUGCUUUGUUAGAUCUUUGUUUUGGUUGGGUGACACAAAUCCCAAGACAAAAAUUCUACCUGCUUCCUAGAAAUGACCUAGGGUGAACCUAUUGCCUCCCCUGUAACUCCCCCUGGAAGACCAAGAGUGUUUUUAUUAUCCUAGUGACAGCAUUUCUUGGAGAUUGGCUGGGGAGUGAUUGUAUUGUUUUUAGAUAGUAAACAGUUUUGUGGAAGAAUAGCGAAAUUAAAAUUAUUACUAGAGUAAAUGUGACGUUUUUUCAAUUGCAUUUCUUGCAAUGCUACAGGAUUUGUGAGAUGUAAUAUUGAACCAUUGUCUGCUCAGGAAGUUGAAUUAAUUUUUUAAGUGCUGCCUGAGGAGAAAACAAUGUAAACAGAGUAGGAAGAUAAAAUUCUAUGUACAAUCAUGAUUUGAACUAAAAUAGCAGUGAACCAUAGUCGAAGACAAUAACAGACAAUUACUGAGUGUUUGUGUUCACUGAAUAUCCAGUAUUACUGAGUACACUAAGCUAUGUUUUGAGCAAUUUACAUGUAGUAAUUAUUAUAUUCUGAGAAUAAUCCUAGAAGAAAAGAUGUGCGCACCCUUGUGCUCACAUGUAACUCAUAAAUUGUUUGCCAUUGUUCCAUUUUACAGAUGAGGAAACUGAGACACUUAGAGGGUGAUAAAAUUUGCCUAGGUUCAUACAUCUUGUAGAUAAAAGUGUUAGAAUUUAAACUCAGUCUUGAUUUAGAUCCAUACUCUUAACCAUGAAAGUAUAGUUGCUUGUGUAUGAUUUUAAGGUGUCAUAACAAAUCAAGAAUUAUGUUACUACUUCCCAAUAUACUCUUAUAAUGAGUUCUGUAGAGCAAAGGAGGGGGCAUAAAUCCCAAUCUGUGGUUUUGCUUUCCAUAGUUUCAAUUAUAAACAAUCAGCUAUGGUCUGAAAACAUUAAAAGGAGCCUUCUAGAAAUAAACAUUUGAUAAGUGUUAAGUUGCUCACAUUCUGUCCAGUGUAUCCAUGCUGUAUGUACUACUCACCUGUUAGUUACUUAAUAGUCAUCUGGCCAUCAGUUUGAUUGUUGCAGUAGUAGCAUAUUAUUGUUUUUCUGUUUUAUUAUCAUUUAUUAUUGCUAAUCUCUUACUUUGCCCAAUUUAUAAAUUUGACUUUAUCAUAGUUGUAUAUGUACAGUAUAGGAAAAAACAAUAUAUAAAGGAUUGAGUAUUAAUGUGCUUUCAGGUGUCAACUGGGAUCUUGGAGCAUAUUUCCUAAGAAGUAUGGGGGACUAUUGUAGUAUGUAGUAAAUGGUAGUAUGAAGAUUAUAUGACCAUAAUUUCAAGCCAUGUGCAAUUAAUGAUAAGUAUUGGAAUUGGUUUCAAAAGACUUCUAGUAAAGACUAGUCUAAGAUAUGUGGGACAUCAUUCUCUCUUGUGACAAUAUUUAUCUGCCAUUAGCUUGGUAGGCCUUUUGUGUUAGUUUGACAGUAGUACAUAUGGACAUGGCUAAAUCAUGCAAGUUUUCUACCAGAUUAUCUGUGGCCAAAGUAGCCAAUCUGCACUGCAAGAUGAUGGACAAGAAUUAGGAAUUCACCUAUGGUUGGGAAACUACACUUGAUAACCACAGAAAUUCAGAAGUUCCCCAGGCUUUUACCUGGCUUUCUGAGCACUUUUUUCAGCCAAAGGUAGAUACUGUGUGAUGACAACAAUAUGAUUCAUUUACGGGUAUUUAAAGUCUAUGUUGCCUCCCAGAUAAUUUUUAAAUAAUAAUAUCAGUGAAAAUAACAAGCUCAAAAUUUCAUGCUUCAUAUACUUUUCUGUAUAUUCCUUUUCAGCCUUGUUUUACAGAUAGAAUUCUGCAUAUUUGCAAUCUUAUUGUAUAUCUAAUUUUGAAUCCUAUUUUGUACUUAAUGUUUCCCAUUGUGCUGUGGUUUUUUUCAUUAUUGCCAUCUUAUUGGCACCCAAUAAGCAAUUGAAUUGAUAGUCAUAUGUUAUGAAACUAUUUUCUGAUGGUUGAGCUUAAACAUUUUUCCAUUAAUAAAUACUUACUGUGAAGCUGGGUUGGCCCUCAUACCAAAUCCUGCCAACUACCUAUUUUUGUAAAUAAAAUUUCACUGGAACAGAGUCACACACACUUGCUAGUAUCAUCUAUUGUUGUUUCUGCAUUAUAACAGCAGAGUUGAGUAGGUAUGACAGAAAGUCUAAAAUAUUUAUUAUCCAGCCCUUUAGAGAAAAAGUUUGCCAACGCUAAAUCGCUAUCUUAGUACCAAAUCGAUUCUGAAUAAUUUCAUUAAGAUAAAUCCCCAGGGUUGGGGUUAUUUGGCCCAAGUGUUUUGGAUUCAUACAGUCUCAAAGUGUAUUUCUGAAUUGCUUUCUGAAACUGUUAUAUUGAUUUAAAAUCUUACCAACAUAAUAAGUGUGCUGCUUUCAAUCAACUUUAUCACAACUGGGGUUUGUCAUUUUAAGUUUUUCUUAAUUUAAUGUCCGUUAAUAGUGUACAUCAUUGGACUUUUUGUUUGCUUUUCUUCAGAAUGAAAAAUCUAUUUCUCUGAAUAUCAUUAGUUGUUUUUCUUUUGUGUGAAAUGUCUGUUCAUGUUUCUUAUAUGCUAAUCUAUUAGUCUUACUGCUGCACUCCUUAAUUUGUAUGAGCUUGCAGAUGAUUUUCUGACUUACAUUAAAAGCACCAGCAGUAAGAUAUGUUGGUCAAUGGCUUAGUGCACAAAGAUGCACAUAUAUCACGCAAGUAUUAUGUGAUUCAUUAAAGCAGAUAGAGAAGUCAGGCUUAUAAUAAUUAUGAAUGCCACCUUUUAAAGCGAGAAUAACCAUGUUGCCGAUGUAAAUAAUACCAGUAACUCUUUUAUUACUCUCUAAAUCUGUAAGCUGAACUCCUGCAAGGAAAAUAUGUCUUCUUUAUGUAAUGAAAAUAUUUGCUUAUGUAGUAUUAAAUUUCUCAUUUGUAUAUGACUCAUGUAAGUAGACAACCAACUCAGCUCUGGUCUUAAAUAAAAGAACUUUGUUACAGUAAUCUUUUUUCUCAAGAUAAAAAAUGUUGACGAACUUGAGUCUCUCCUACUCUGGUUGCAAAAUUAAAA